This 254-nucleotide ribosomal RNA is filed under the name uncultured bacterium. Its description in RNAcentral is "partial 16S ribosomal RNA". It matches the Rfam family "Bacterial small subunit ribosomal RNA", at positions 524 to 776 of the family's 1533-position model. The record is from RNAcentral.
UACGUAGGGGGCGAGCGUUGUCCGGAUUUACUGGGCGUAAAGGACGCGCAGGCGGCCCGAGGGGUCUGUCGUUAAAGCCCGGGGCUCAACCCCGGGUGGUCGGCGGAGACCGGCGGGCUUGGAGGCCGGUAGAGGGAUGCGGAAUUCCCAGUGUAGUGGUGAAAUGCGUAGAGAUCGGGAGGAACACCAGAGGCGAAAGCGGCAUCCUGGGCCGGGCCUGACGCUGAGGCGUGAAAGCGUGGGGAGCGAACCGG